This 259-nucleotide long non-coding RNA is filed under the name Lathyrus oleraceus (garden pea). Its description in RNAcentral is "Pisum sativum (pea) long non-coding RNA (PSAT_LNC031614)". The record is from RNAcentral. Lineage: Eukaryota; Viridiplantae; Streptophyta; Magnoliopsida; Fabales; Fabaceae.
UUAAGUAUCCUUUCAUCAUUGUGAAUGUUCACUUAUUUUUGCCUAGAUUGCCCCAGGGUGAGGUACUCAAUCUAGCGGGAUGCAAAUAUACUUCUUUUUUUCAAGUCUCUAAUUUUUGCCUGGAUCGCCCUUUCGGGUUUCCCACCGAGACGCUCAUUUUUGCCUAAGCCGCCCUUUCGGGUUUUCAACUUAGCGAGCUAUUCUGUUUUUCUUUUAGGCAAAGUAUUUCUUGACUGCAUCUGAAUUCACAGGACGAGUG